Molecule: ribosomal RNA, 495 nt
Filed under: uncultured bacterium
Lineage: Bacteria
Description: partial 16S ribosomal RNA
Rfam family: Bacterial small subunit ribosomal RNA
Source: RNAcentral
GAUGAACGCUGGCGGCGUGCCUAAUACAUGCAAGUCGAGCGAACAGACGAGGAGCUUGCUCCUCUGACGUUAGCGGCGGACGGGUGAGUAACACGUGGAUAACCUACCUAUAAGACUGGGAUAACUUCGGGAAACCGGAGCUAAUACCGGAUAAUAUAUUGAACCGCAUGGUUCAAUAGUGAAAGACGGUUUUGCUGUCACUUAUAGAUGGAUCCGCGCCGCAUUAGCUAGUUGGUAAGGUAACGGCUUACCAAGGCGACGAUGCGUAGCCGACCUGAGAGGGGGAUCGGCCACACUGGAACUGAGACACGGUCCAGACUCCUACGGGAGGCAGCAGUAGGGAAUCUUCCGCAAUGGGCGAAAGCCUGACGGAGCAACGCCGCGUGAGUGAUGAAGGUCUUCGGAUCGUAAAACUCUGUUAUUAGGGAAGAACAAAUGUGUAAGUAACUAUGCACGUCUUGACGGUACCUAAUCAGAAAGCCACGGCUAACUACG